UGGGGAAUUUUGGACAAUGGGCGAAAGCCUGAUCCAGCAAUGCCGCGUGUGUGAAGAAGGCCUUCGGGUUGUAAAGCACUUUUGUCCGGAAAGAAAUCCUUGGCUCUAAUACAGUCGGGGGAUGACGGUACCGGAAGAAUAAGCACCGGCUAACUACGUGCCAGCAGCCGCGGUAAUACGUAGGGUGCAAGCGUUAAUCGGAAUUACUGGGCGUAAAGCGUGCGCAGGCGGUUUGCUAAGACCGAUGUGAAAUCCCCGGGCUCAACCUGGGAACUGCAUUGGUGGCUGGCAGGCUAGAGUAUGGCAGAGGGGGGUAGAAUUCCACGUGUAGCAGUGAAAUGCGUAGAGAUGUGGGGGAAUACCGAUGGCGAAGGCAGCCCCCUGGGCCAAUACUGACGCUCAUGCACGAAAGCGUGGGGAGCAAACAGGAUUAGAUACCCUGGUAGUCCACGCCCUAAACGAUGUCAACUAGUUGUUGGGGAUUCAUUUCCUUAGUAACGUAGCUAACGCGUGAAGUUGACCGCCUGGGGAGUACGGUCGCAAGAUUAAAACUCAAAUGAAUUGACGGGGUCAUAGCUGUUUCCUG
Molecule: ribosomal RNA, 586 nt
Filed under: uncultured bacterium
Lineage: Bacteria
Description: partial 16S ribosomal RNA
Rfam family: Bacterial small subunit ribosomal RNA
Source: RNAcentral